CCAUCCCCUUUAGGCCCAUCCUCACACCCGCUUACGUGGCGGCCCAUCCCCUUGGGGGUGAGCUUCACCAUAUCUUCCAGCCUUAUGCAGUUGAUCCCUAAAUUCAUAAACCUGUGAUCGAGAUUUUCAACUUAGUAAAUCUUCAUUUUCAUUGUGAUCCAUACAAUUACAUGAUUUGGAUAUGUUGACCAUUGUUCUUGAUAGUGUUGCAAGAAUCGGUAGGCGUUAGUCGCCGGUGAGGUACCGACUAGCGAUUAAUCGGGAUUAACAGGGAUUAGUUGGAUUAAUCGGAUUGGGAUUUUUAUGUAUAAUUUUUAGUUUUAUAUAUACACAAACUUAACUUUUUUAAGUAGACAUGUUUUAACCUCUUGUUGACCCAUUUUUUAAGUAAUUUGAGGGAAUUUAUAAGGUUUGGUCAAAAGUUGGCCGGAGUAGGACAUCGUUGACCGCCUAGCGAUUAAUCGGCUAUUAGUCGGCGAACCUUCGAUUAGUGAUUAAUUAGCGACUAAUUGGAGCCUAGGUAAGAUUUUUACAACCAUGGUUCUUAAUAAGUAGGUGUAGGAGUUUGGUCCUGAAAGUUAUACAUCAUCUCUAAUCUUUCAAGUUGAUAAGUUUAGGACCAAAGUGUUCUAAAUUGGUCCAAUAUGAUGUAGAUUGUUACUUUUAAUGCAGCAAACAUUUCGUUUUGGACCAAGUCAUCUUUAACCAUCUAACAAACGGACACCCUUAAAGAAUAAAUAAAACAAAUUUUAUACGAUAUCUAACCGUUAAAGUAAAAGACCAACUGUUGUUCCUAUUGGGUCAGCUUGCUUGCACGUGUGUUUUUUUCUUAUGUGUUUUUAUUUCUGUUUAGAAUAAGUCAAGUCCAUGUUUUUGAUCGUGUGAACGUUGGAGUUGUUUCCUAGUUAGUGGGUCAGUUCCUAGUUUUUCUGAGUCUGUUAGUUUGUGGCCGUUGUUGGCUUGGCUAUAUAAAGCCGGUGGUGUUUAUUGAAUAAAGCAAGCAUUCAAGUAUUGUGUUUUGUUUAUGCACUUGACACUUCAAGUGUUCCAUGUGUACGCUGCCAUCAUCGAAUAACAUACCGCUAGAAGAUUCUUGUUCCAUGUCUAUGCUACCCUGAAACUACAGAUACAAAACUGCUGA
RNAcentral lists this long non-coding RNA (1141 nucleotides) under Helianthus annuus (common sunflower). RNAcentral describes it as "sRNA HanXRQr2_Chr06g0249921". The record is from RNAcentral. Lineage: Eukaryota; Viridiplantae; Streptophyta; Magnoliopsida; Asterales; Asteraceae.